Molecule: long non-coding RNA, 286 nt
Filed under: Bos taurus (domestic cattle)
Lineage: Eukaryota; Metazoa; Chordata; Mammalia; Artiodactyla; Bovidae
Description: long non-coding RNA NONBTAT020629
Source: RNAcentral
AAAGUAAAAUUCUUUUGUUCUUAAUAUGAAGGUCAGUGAAAGUGUUGAGGAGCAUAAAAAGCAUGAUUUUCAUAUGUUACUUUUAUGUUCUGUUUGGAAAAAAUGUCUGUAUAUCUUCCCUCUUAAGUUAUAUGGGAUUAUUUUAAUUUAUUGUUUCCAUACUUUAAAAAUUUUCCAUUUUUUUGAAGCCCAUUAUUCUACUUUUAAAAUAGCAUAAGUUAGUUAAUUGUGUAACAUAAAAAUGUGGUUUCCAAAGUAUUCUAAAAUCUUGUCUAAAUAUUAUUGA